Molecule: small RNA, 526 nt
Filed under: Pan troglodytes (chimpanzee)
Lineage: Eukaryota; Metazoa; Chordata; Mammalia; Primates; Hominidae
Description: retained intron
Source: RNAcentral
GUCAGCUCCCGUCAAGCAGCCUGGCUCAUGGCUGUGUGGGGCCUGGGGAGCCGUCUUGGCCUGCGCGGGUGCUUCGGCGCCGCCAGGCUCCUGUAUCCCCGUUUCCAGAGCCGCGGCCCUCAGGGCGUGGAAGACGGGGACAGGCCACAGCCUUCCUCGAAGACACCCAGGAUCCCCAAGAUUUACACCAAAACGGGAGACAAAGGGUUUUCUAGUACCUUCACAGGAGAAAGGAGACCCAAAGAUGACCAAGUGUUUGAAGCUGUGGGAACUACAGAUGAAUUAAGUUCAGCUAUUGGGUUUGCUCUGGAAUUAGUCACAGAAAAGGGCCACACAUUUGCUGAAGAGCUUCAGAAAAUCCAGUGCACAUUGCAGGACGUUGGCUCGGCCCUGGCGACACCACGCUCCUCGGCCCGGGAGGCUCACUUAAGUAAUUCUCAAACUCCUGUGGGUGUUCAGAGGGCCCUAGGGUCAGGGGACUCUCCUAGGGUCACCAUCUGGGAUCCCAGGCCCCCAGGGACCCACG